Holdemania filiformis DSM 12042 is the source of this 110-nucleotide non-coding RNA. The record is from Rfam. Lineage: Bacteria; Bacillati; Bacillota; Erysipelotrichia; Erysipelotrichales; Erysipelotrichaceae.
GAUACUCCCUUGCAGUCACAGUCCGGGCGUGCAGCCGUAUUCAGGCGGUGAGGCGUCGCAGGCAAUGAGCAGGGCCGCGCGAGAACCGCGCGGGGGUGGGAUUCCCGUGG